This 869-nucleotide ribosomal RNA is filed under the name Tropicoporus cubensis. RNAcentral's name for it is "LSU rRNA". It matches the Rfam family "Eukaryotic large subunit ribosomal RNA", at positions 66 to 915 of the family's 3401-position model. The record is from RNAcentral. Lineage: Eukaryota; Fungi; Basidiomycota; Agaricomycetes; Hymenochaetales; Hymenochaetaceae.
UAACAAGGAUUCCCCUAGUAACUGCGAGUGAAGCGGGAAGAGCUCAAAUUUAAAAUCUGGCGGCUCUGYCGCCCGAGUUGUAGUCUGGAGAAGUGUUAUCCGCGUCGGACCGUGUACAAGUCUCCUGGAAUGGAGCGUCAUAGAGGGUGAGAAUCCCGUCCAUGACACGGACCUCCGAUGCUCUGUGAGGCACUCUCAAAGAGUCGAGUUGUUUGGGAAUGCAGCUCAAAAUGGGUGGUAAAUUCCAUCUAAAGCUAAAUAUUGGCGAGAGACCGAUAGCGAACAAGUACCGUGAGGGAAAGAUGAAAAGCACUUUGGAAAGAGAGUUAAACAGUACGUGAAAUUGUUGAAAGGGAAACGCUUGAAGUCAGUCGCGUCCCGUGGAACUCAGCCUGGUUUCGGCCUGGUGUACUUUCCUUGGGGGACGGGUCAACAUCAAUUUCGGCCGGUGGAAAAGGGCGAGGGGAAUGUAGCGUCGUCUCGGCGGCGUGUUAUAGCCCCCUGUCGUAUACAUUGGCCGGGAUUGAGGACCGCAGCACGCCCUUGUGGCCGGGGUUCGCCCACGUAACGUGCUUAGGAUGUUGGCAUAAUGGCUUUAAGCGACCCGUCUUGAAACACGGACCAAGGAGUCUAACAUGCUUGCGAGUGUUCGGGUGGAAAACCCUUGCGCGUAAUGAAAGUGAAAGUUGGGAGCCUCCGCAAGGGGGUGCACCGACGCCCGGCCCUGACGUUCUCUGACGGUGCUGCGGUAGAGCAGGUAUGUUGGGACCCGAAAGAUGGUGAACUAUGCCUGAAUAGGGCGAAGCCAGAGGAAACUCUGGUGGAGGCUCGUAGCGAUUCUGACGUGCAAAUCGAUCGUCAAAUUUGGG